GCUUGGGAAGCAAUGAGCUGUAGGUCCUUGGGGUCAGGAGUGGAAAGGAACCAGUUCAAGGAAUCUUCAGGGUCAAAAGUGUAAGCCUUGAAGUUCCUGAGGAAGAUUGUAAGAAACACAAUGGAAAGAAAGGUUUUUCGCCAAGCCCUUUAUGUAAGCUGAAAUGAAUUCCAGGGUGUGGUAGACAAUAGCUGUGAUGUUUUAAGGUCACAUAGAGAGAGGCAAUGGCCUUAAAGUGAUGAAAAUGGGAGGUGCUUCAGAAGGCAAGGUCUCUUCACCCCACUUAUUAACAUGUGAACAUAAAAUGAAGUAAAAUUAAAAAAAAAAUGUCUGUCUUUUUGGUGUACACCAUACUUGCUCACACAGCUAGUUCAUUGAUCAAGAAAUAGUGUACAAAGAUAAGCCAGUUCUCACUGGAACCCCACUUAAUCAAUGGGAGGUGAGAUGUCUAUAGGAAAGGAUGAUGAAUGUUCAGAUUCUUUGUGGGAGAGCAGUGUUUGCAUUCAUGAGAAAACAUUUUUUUAAAAAAUGAUAAUGCUGUCUUAAAGAGAGAGGAGGUAGAACUCCUCUCUAUUUAUGGAACAGUGGAACAGAAUUGUGGAACAGAAUUAUGGAACAAUGGAACAGAAUUGUUAAAGGGAGAACAAUUCAAGUUCACAGAUGCAGAGAAAUAGACACAGAUGUAGACAUGAAAGCAUACUGCACAACGCCAAGCCCAACUCCACCAUGCCAGGGGACCAUGUUCCUUCAUGAGGCUGUCCCAAGCAAUAUGACAUUUUAUUGUCCUUCAUUGAAUAUUGUGCAUCAGCUGAAUUCCUUUUCAAAGGGUGCCUAGUAAAUACCAUAGAUAAUUCUUUCAUCCACCUUUUUCAGUUUAGAAAACCCUAUCUACUGCAAUAUUGUUGGACUGAACCAAUUGUUCCCAACUCUUUUUCCGAGACCAAUAAAUAUCUCUAAUCCCAAGUGUUACAGGCAAAUAAAAAUGUAAUUAUCUUAUUGAUGACAAGAAAGCUACAAACAUGAGCCCAAAAGGGUCAAGCUGCUUAUUUCAUACUAACAUGUAAUUUGUUCAUGUAGCCUUGUACCUUUCCAGGCUACACAGGAUCUAGAAAUCUUUUAACACAAAAAGCAACAAGGGAUUAUUACUUUAUACCAAUGUUUUCACAUUGUGUUAUUACUAUUGUCACCAACCAGAGAUUCUCAUUACUUUUUUCUCUUCAUAUUUGAAAGGUGAUUUUAAAUCUCUCUCUAAACUCUCCCCUAAGUCAUCAUCCUAAAGGAGUUAGCAGCCAUUUAUUCAUGCACCAAAAACAGCACAAAGGAAAUAGCAGUUAGUCAUCCUUUAGUAGUUCAUGCUAAAAGAAAAUGCAAGGAUUUAUAACUCAGAUUUCAAAUAUGUGAUCAGCAAUCGCAAAUUCAUAUAGACCUUUUCUAAUAAAUCAAGCUGUCAAUAUUUCCUAAGUGUCAGUUUUGUGCUGAAUACUAUACCAGCUAUGUUGGGAAGUACCUAGAAGUGUUUACAAUCAAAUGGGAGGCUCGCGUUAUAUAAUAUGCUUAAGAGAAGCAUAAAGUGAAAGACAGGUAAACCCUUAGGAUACAAGAACUAAUGAUAUGAACACAUGGUUCCCUCACCAACUAAUUGAAACAAAAGACCUAGCCAGAUCUAUCACUUAGAUCAAAUUUAUAGAUAACCUUCUGUGAACCUAAAUAUGUUACUCACCAUUAUCUCCAAGUUCCUCCACCCUUAUUCCUGAACUUACCUAUACAAAAGAAGCUAGAUUUCAUUUAUACUUUUGUGUCAUUGUAAUGAAAUCAAAAGUAUCACUAUAAAGCUUUCAGAUCAUAUAUGGUCUGGGUGGAAAUAUUUAAAACAAGCCUUAAAGCAACCAACAAUUUUUUUAAAGGAAGGCAGGAGAGGGGGUGCCUUGGGAGAAUGGGGGCUGUAACCAAUUCUGUGAGGCAGGUGAAGUCUUGUUAUAAUUAAGCUUGUAAAGUCCCAAUUCCACUUCAAUAAAACAGCAUGAGGCUCCAGCUGGUGGCCAGCUGCUCCACAGACCUUUUCCACACCAAAAAAAAUUUUUUUUUAAAUAGCCCCAUAGCAUAAGCCUUAUAGGUUUGUUUUAACCAAAUGUCACUUGUCUAGGUAAACUAAACAAUGCCAGAUAUUGAGUUAUCUGAAUAUUCAGAAAACUAAUGACUCCUCAAUCGGUGAGUAUACCUACAUUGUUUAUAAACAUCUUUCUCUAUUCAGAAUUAUCAAUAUAAAGAGGAACAUAUGGCAAAAUUUUAUAUAGCUCAUUUGCAGAAAACUUGGACAUAGUUCAAGGUAGAUACCCUUUAAGAGGCUUUUAUUCUUUUGGAUUACACAGUUCCUACCAAAGUAUGCCCAACCUCUCAAAGUUGCAUAUCAGGACUGAAAAACUGAACAAAAAAAAAAUUGCAAGAAGGCAUUACCAAAUUUAUGAAUGGAAAAAUCUCA
Molecule: long non-coding RNA, 2479 nt
Filed under: Macaca mulatta (Rhesus monkey)
Lineage: Eukaryota; Metazoa; Chordata; Mammalia; Primates; Cercopithecidae
Description: lncRNA (ENSMMUG00000051715.1)
Source: RNAcentral